AUGUUCGUCCCGCGCUGCACGGACACAGACCAGGAGGCCUUCUCCGAGGGGGACGCGGCAGACCCGGGAACAGCCCCAGCCUUCAGGCGUACCGGCGGGGCAACGGCCCCCUCAUCACGCCGCUCGCUGUCCUUCCCCGCCGGGUCCCGCUGUCCCGGAGCCAACGCAACCCCUUACCUUCCUCCAGCGGAGAAGGAGGGAGCGGGAGAACGGCGACAGGCGGCCCGCUCCCCUCAGCCCGCGCCGCCGCACCGGGAGGCGGAGGGACUCGCCAGUCCGCGCCGCCGCUGCCGGCCCGCUGCCAUCACCACCCCGGAACGGCGCCACUUCCGGCAUGAGGGAACCACUUCCGGUUCUCUCCCGACUGCAUCCGGGACGCGGCGGGAGGUGCCCGCCGGGCAGCCGUUGGCUGGCGGCCAUCUUGGCGCGGGCCCGCGCCCCGCUGUGGCGCUAUUGACCUCGCCCAAAAUGGCGGUCGGGUUUCCUGGUGGCGGCCCACGUUCUUCUGCCGCCCCUCAGUUACCGCCCCGGCCCCGAGCUUCACCUCUGUCUCUUGGCCGCAUUUGCCAGGUAGUGACAUCCCAGCUGAUCCAGAAUUAAAAAGUUUUCCAGGUGGCUCUGACCUUCUGUUUAUGUAUGGCUUUCUUCCUGAUGUUACAGGUAAUGAUGGAAAACUGAAUAGCUAUUGUAUGGUAUAUGGUAUCUAUGGUAUAGAGCCUCCUUCCUUAAAAGUGCUGGUGUUGGAGAGAAUAACUCAUAUUCUCCAUGUUAAAAUAGGGAUGCAUACAUAGUGAGACUCACGUGUUUAAUAUUCAGACUGUAAACAAGAGGAGAAGAUAGAGGCCUGCUGAAUCAAAUUAACUUUUAAUGGUCAAGUCCAG
Molecule: long non-coding RNA, 881 nt
Filed under: Numida meleagris (helmeted guineafowl)
Lineage: Eukaryota; Metazoa; Chordata; Aves; Galliformes; Numididae
Description: lncRNA (ENSNMEG00000010597.1)
Source: RNAcentral